Molecule: ribosomal RNA, 372 nt
Filed under: uncultured organism
Description: partial 16S ribosomal RNA
Rfam family: Bacterial small subunit ribosomal RNA
Source: RNAcentral
GUAGGUGGCAAGCGUUGUCCGGAAUUAUUGGGCGUAAAGCGCGCGCAGGCGGUUCUUUAAGUCUGAUGUGAAAGCCCACGGCUCAACCGUGGAGGGUCAUUGGAAACUGGGGAACUUGAGUACAGAAGAGGAAAGCGGAAUUCCACGUGUAGCGGUGAAAUGCGUAGAGAUGUGGAGGAACACCAGUGGCGAAGGCGGCUUUCUGGUCUGUAACUGACGCUGAGGCGCGAAAGCGUGGGGAGCAAACAGGGAUUAGAUACCCUGGUAGUCCACGCCGUAAACGAUGAGUGCUAAGUGUUAGGGGUUUCCCGCCCCUUAGUGCUGCAGCUAACGCAUUAAGCACUCCGCCUGGGGAGUACGGCCGCAAGGCUG